RNAcentral lists this ribosomal RNA (416 nucleotides) under Sphingomonas sp. oral taxon 006. RNAcentral describes it as "bacterial SSU rRNA". It matches the Rfam family "Bacterial small subunit ribosomal RNA", at positions 29 to 490 of the family's 1533-position model. Lineage: Bacteria; Pseudomonadati; Pseudomonadota; Alphaproteobacteria; Sphingomonadales; Sphingomonadaceae. The record is from RNAcentral.
AACGAACGCUGGCGGCGUGCCUAACACAUGCAAGUCGAACGAAGCCUUCGGGCUUAGUGGCGCACGGGUGCGUAACGCGUGGGAAUCUGCCUCUUGCUUCGGAAUAACAGUGGGAAACUACUGCUAAUACCGGAUGAUGUCUUCGGACCAAAGAUUUAUCGGCAAGAGAUGAGCCCGCGUAGGAUUAGGUAGUUGGUGGGGUAAAGGCCUACCAAGCCGACGAUCCUUAGCUGGUCUGAGAGGAUGAUCAGCCACACUGGGACUGAGACACGGCCCAGACUCCUACGGGAGGCAGCAGUGGGGAAUAUUGGACAAUGGGGGCAACCCUGAUCCAGCAAUGCCGCGUGAGUGAUGAAGGCCUUAGGGUUGUAAAGCUCUUUUACCAGGGAUGAUAAUGACAGUACCUGGAGAAUAAG